RNAcentral lists this ribosomal RNA (468 nucleotides) under uncultured bacterium. RNAcentral's name for it is "partial 16S ribosomal RNA". It matches the Rfam family "Bacterial small subunit ribosomal RNA", at positions 28 to 507 of the family's 1533-position model. The record is from RNAcentral.
GACGAACGCUGGCGGCGUGCUUAACACAUGCAAGUCGAGCGGAAAGGCGCUGCGUUUGUGGGUUGCUCGAGUGGCGAACGGGUGAGUAACACGUGAGUAACCUGCCCUUGACUUUGUGAUAACUUCAGGAGACUGGGGCUAAUACCGGAUAGGAGCUCCUGCUGCAUGUGGGGGGUUGGAAAGUUUCGGCGGUGGGGGCUGGACUCGCGGCUUAUCAGCUUGUUGGUGGGGUAGUGGCUUACCAAGGGUUUGACGGGUAGCCGGCUUGAGAGGGUGAACGGCCACAUUGGGACUGAGAUACGGCCCAGACUCGUACGGGCGGCAGUAGUGGGGAACAUUGCACAAUGGGCGGACGCCUGAUGCAGAAACGCCGCGUGCGGGAUGACGGCCUUCGGGUUGUAAACCGCUUUCGCCUGUGACGAAGCGUGAGUGACGGUAAUGGGUAAAGAAGCACCGGCUAACUACGUG